This is a small nuclear RNA of Cavia aperea (Brazilian guinea pig), 191 nucleotides long. Its record names the gene U2. It matches the Rfam family "U2 spliceosomal RNA". Rfam says of the family: U2 is a small nuclear RNA (snRNA) component of the spliceosome (involved in pre-mRNA splicing). Complementary binding between U2 snRNA (in an area lying towards the 5' end but 3' to hairpin I) and the branchpoint sequence (BPS) of the intron results the bulging out of an unpaired adenosine, on the BPS, which initiates a nucleophilic attack at the intronic 5' splice site, thus starting the first of two transesterification reactions that mediate splicing. The record is from Ensembl. Lineage: Eukaryota; Metazoa; Chordata; Mammalia; Rodentia; Caviidae.
AUAGCUUCUCAGCCAUUUGGCUAAGGUCAAGGGCAGUAUCUGGUCUUACCAGAUUAAUGUCUGAUUUGUCCUCUGUUUGAGGACACUCUAGGAAAUGGAGUUUUGAAGCAGGGAGUUGGAAGAGAAGCCUGCUCUGACCACUGUGUGCGUCGACCUGGUAUUGCAGGAUCUCCAGGAAUGGUGCACCCCAC